RNAcentral lists this ribosomal RNA (332 nucleotides) under Klebsiella pneumoniae. RNAcentral describes it as "bacterial SSU rRNA". It matches the Rfam family "Bacterial small subunit ribosomal RNA", at positions 1 to 327 of the family's 1533-position model. The record is from RNAcentral. Lineage: Bacteria; Pseudomonadati; Pseudomonadota; Gammaproteobacteria; Enterobacterales; Enterobacteriaceae.
ACUUAAAUUGAAGAGUUUGAUCAUGGCUCAGAUUGAACGCUGGCGGCAGGCCUAACACAUGCAAGUCGAGCGGUAGCACAGAGAGCUUGCUCUCGGGUGACGAGCGGCGGACGGGUGAGUAAUGUCUGGGAAACUGCCUGAUGGAGGGGGAUAACUACUGGAAACGGUAGCUAAUACCGCAUAACGUCGCAAGACCAAAGUGGGGGACCUUCGGGCCUCAUGCCAUCAGAUGUGCCCAGAUGGGAUUAGCUAGUAGGUGGGGUAACGGCUCACCUAGGCGACGAUCCCUAGCUGGUCUGAGAGGAUGACCAGCCACACUGGAACUGAGACAC